GAUGAACGCUGACAGAAUGCUUAACACAUGCAAGUCAACUUGAACUUCGGUUUGGGUGGCGGACGGGUGAGUAACGCGUAAAGAACUUGCCUCACAGAUGGGGACAACAUUUGGAAACGAAUGCUAAUACCUGAUAUUAUGAUUUUAGGGCAUCCUAGGAUUAUGAAAGCUAUAUGCGCUGUGAGAGAGCUUUGCGUCCCAUUAGCUAGUUGGAGAGGUAACGGCUCACCAAGGCGAUGAUGGGUAGCCGGCCUGAGAGGGUGAUCGGCCACAAGGGGACUGAGACACGGCCCUUACUCCUACGGGAGGCAGCAGUGGGGAAUAUUGGACAAUGGACCAAGAGUCUGAUCCAGCAAUUCUGUGUGCACGAUGAAGUUUUUCGGAAUGUAAAGUGCUUUCAGUUGGGAAGAAAAAAAUGACGGUACCAACAGAAGAAGUGACGGCUAAAUACGUG
Molecule: ribosomal RNA, 454 nt
Filed under: uncultured bacterium
Lineage: Bacteria
Description: partial 16S ribosomal RNA
Rfam family: Bacterial small subunit ribosomal RNA
Source: RNAcentral